GUGAUUUUCCUGCCUCAGCCUCCCAAGUAGCUGGGAUUACAGGGCUGUCAAGUAGACAUUAUUCACCGUACGGCUGCGAAUAAGGAAGCGGUGCUAUGUCGGGGUGAAGUGACUUACCCAAGGCUCGCAGGCCUGGUUCCUAGACCACCCAACUCCCAUGUUCUAACCAGAGGCUUCCAGUAUUACAGGGGGCUCAGAGCUGAUUUGCAGCCCAUCUCCAUGUGCCUCAUGGCUACUGAUCUCAUCCCUGCAUUCUUCUCCUCCCGCUUCCACCAGCUUUAUUAAGGUAAGAGGCAGGAGCAGCGCAUCAGAAAUCAACAGACUGACCCAGCUGCAGGGCCUGAGCGGAGCUGAGCACAGCACCAGGCCCGGGAACUUACCGCAGGGCGAUGCUGACGUUGGUCGAGCUGCCGUUUUCCAGCUUUACAACGGGAGGAACGGUAAGGCUGACGG
Molecule: long non-coding RNA, 453 nt
Organism: Piliocolobus tephrosceles (Ugandan red Colobus)
Lineage: Eukaryota; Metazoa; Chordata; Mammalia; Primates; Cercopithecidae
Exons: 4
Source: RefSeq, a predicted model, not a curated record